AACGAACGCUGGCGGCAGGUCUUAGGCAUGCAAGUCGAACGGGUGUAGUAAUACACCAGUGGCGAACGAGUGAGUAACGCGUGGGAAUCUGCCCAUCUCUGGGGAAUAACGUUUGGAAACGAACGCUAAUACCGCAUACGCCCGCAAGGGGAAAGAUUUAUCGGAGAUGGAUGAGCCCGCGUUGGAAUAGUUAGUUGGUGGGGUAACGGCCGACCAAGGCGAUGAUCCAUAGCUGGUCUGAGAGGCCGGUCAGCCACGCUGGAACUGAGAUACGGUCCAGGCUCAUACGGGAGGCAGCAGCUAAGAAUAUUGGGCAAUGGAGGAAACUUUGACCCAGACAUGCCGCGUGAAUGAAGAAGGCCUUCGGGUUGUAAAGUUCUUUUAGUCGUGACGAUGAUGACGGUAGCGACAGAAAAAGCGCCGGCUAACUUCGUGCCAGCCGCCGCAGUAA
This 451-nucleotide ribosomal RNA is filed under the name uncultured bacterium. RNAcentral describes it as "partial 16S ribosomal RNA". It matches the Rfam family "Bacterial small subunit ribosomal RNA", at positions 29 to 523 of the family's 1533-position model. The record is from RNAcentral.